RNAcentral lists this ribosomal RNA (253 nucleotides) under uncultured bacterium. RNAcentral's name for it is "partial 16S ribosomal RNA". It matches the Rfam family "Bacterial small subunit ribosomal RNA", at positions 524 to 776 of the family's 1533-position model. The record is from RNAcentral.
UACGUAGGGUGCGAGCGUUGUCCGGAAUUAUUGGGCGUAAAGGGCUCGUAGGCGGUUUGUCGCGUCGGGAGUGAAAUCCACUGGCUUAACUGGUGGCUUGCUUUCGAUACGGGCAGACUGGAGUACUGCAGGGGAGACUGGAAUUCCUGGUGUAGCGGUGGAAUGCGCAGAUAUCAGGAGGAACACCGGUGGCGAAGGCGGGUCUCUGGGCAGUAACUGACGCUGAGGAGCGAAAGCGUGGGGAGCAAACAGG